AUGCAGGUGACGAGACUAAAAGACGGUGCAUUUGUGCUGGGUUUCCAAGUGUGCCACGUCAUCGGCGACGCCGCCGGCGUGACCCAGUUCAUCAGGGCGAUAGCCGAGUUGGCACGCGGCGAAGCGCAUCCGUCCGUAUCGCCGGUGUGGGAGAGGGGGAUCUUCAAGGCGCGCGACCCACCCCGCGUCCGGCAUGACGUCUACCCAGCGUAUGAUCCAACGUCGCCAAGUAGAACCGUCCUCGGUGACCACGACGACGUUGACGACCCGAUGCUGUCGACGCCGACGGAAGAAAUGGUUGGGCAAUACCUGCGCUUUGGCCGGAAGGAGGUCGUCGCUCUGCGCAGGCAUCUGGAUACGGCGCAGCCAUGCACGACGUUCGAGCUCUUAACCGCUUUCCUGUGGAAAUGCCGCACGGCGGCGCUGGGCUACCGUCCCUGGCAACGCGUCCGGCUGGUGUUGCGUGUGGACGUGCGUGGCAACAGCACAUUAGUAGAAAAAGGGCCAUUUGUCCCGAAAUCUGGUAUGGACAGUUGA
This 537-nucleotide ribosomal RNA is filed under the name Triticum aestivum (bread wheat). RNAcentral describes it as "partial small subunit ribosomal RNA". Lineage: Eukaryota; Viridiplantae; Streptophyta; Magnoliopsida; Poales; Poaceae. The record is from RNAcentral.